GCAACACGAGCCUGAACGGCUUGAUUUCUUUGGAAAUCAAUUGGCUUCGUUGUUGCGAUGUUGUGUUUGCAAACUCGUAUUUCGAGUUAGGUAGAUUUCUACCAUAAUGUU
Molecule: unclassified non-coding RNA, 111 nt
Filed under: Vibrio diabolicus
Lineage: Bacteria; Pseudomonadati; Pseudomonadota; Gammaproteobacteria; Vibrionales; Vibrionaceae
Description: GcvB
Rfam family: GcvB RNA
About the family: The gcvB gene encodes a small untranslated RNA involved in expression of the dipeptide and oligopeptide transport systems in Escherichia coli. Included several unknown homologues in alignment (Bateman A pers obs).
Source: RNAcentral